This 1449-nucleotide ribosomal RNA is filed under the name metagenome. RNAcentral describes it as "bacterial LSU rRNA". It matches the Rfam family "Bacterial large subunit ribosomal RNA", at positions 1458 to 2925 of the family's 2925-position model. The record is from RNAcentral.
UUAGAACUGUGGGGACACGUAAGGAAAGCGGAAGCCGGGAAUGGAAAGCCCGGUGCAAGCGGGGUACCAGCCACUUUGGCAAAUCCGGGUGGCAAUGGGAAGCCGUGAUGCGGAGCGAAAUAAAGUAGCGAAGUCCGUGAGCCAUGCGUCAAGAAAAGCCGCUAUCGUUUAUACCGUACCCGUACCGUAAACCGACACAGGUGGAUGAGGAGAGAAUCCUAAGGCCGGCGGAAGAAGCAUUGUCAAGGAACUCGGCAAAAUGGCCCCGUAACUUAGGGAUAAGGGGUGCCUGGGAAACCAGGCCGCAGAGAAUAGGCUCAAGCAACUGUUUAGCAAAAACACAGGUCUAUGCGAAACCGAAAGGUGAGGUAUAUGGGCUGACGCCUGCCCGGUGCUGGAAGGUUAAGAGGAGAGGUUAGCGGUAACGCGAAGCUUUGAAUUUAAGCCCCAGUAAACGGCGGCCGUAACAAUAACGGUCCUAAGGUAGCGAAAUUCCUUGUCGGGUAAGUUCCGACCCGCACGAAAGGCGUAAUGAUUUGAGCGCUGUCUCGACAAUGCAUCCGGUGUAAUUGAAGUACCAGUGAAGAUGCUGGUUACCUGCGCCAGGACGGAAAGACCCCAUGGAGCUUUACUCCAGUCUGGUACUGGGACUCGGUAUUGCAUGUACAGGAUAGGUGGGAGGCUGAGAAAUGGUAACGCCAGUUGCCAUGGAGCCGCUGUUGGGAUACCACCCUUGCAGUAUUGGGUUUCUAACCAGCCGCCGUGACCCGGCGGUGGGACAAUGCCAGACGGGGAGUUUGACUGGGGCGGUCGCCUCCGAAAGGGUAUCGGAGGCGCCCAAAGGUUCCCUCAGAAUGGACGGAAACCAUUCGAAGAGUGCAAAGGCAGAAGGGAGCUUGACUGCGACACCGACGGGUGGAGCAGGUACGAAAGUAGGGCUUAGUGAUCCGGUGGUAUUAAGUGGGAAUGCCAUCGCUCAACGGAUAAAAGCUACCCUGGGAUAACAGGCUUAUCACUCCCAAGAGUUCACAUCGACGGAGUGGUUUGGCACCUCGAUGUCGGCUCAUCGCAUCCUGGGGCUGUAGUAGGUCCCAAGGGUUGGGCUGUUCGCCCAUUAAAGCGGUACGCGAGCUGGGUUCAGAACGUCGUGAGACAGUUCGGUCCCUAUCCGGCGUGGGCGUAGGAUAUCUGAGAGGAGCUGUCCUUAGUACGAGAGGACCGGGAUGGACGGGCCGCUGGUGCAUCGGUUAGACUGCCAAGUCUACGGCCGAGUAGCCAAGCCCGGAAGGGAUAAACGCUGAAGGCAUCUAAGCGUGAAGCCCCCCUUAAGAUGAGAUAUCCCAUUCGAAAGAAGUAAACCCCCUUGAAGACGACGAGGUAGAUAGGGCAGAGGUGGAAGUGCAGCAAUGCAUGGAGCUGACUGUUACUAAUCGGGUGAGGGCUUGACCG